GACAAACCGGAGGAAGGUGGGGAUGACGUCAAAUCAUCAUGCCCCUUAUGACCUGGGCUACACACGUGCUACAAUGGAUGGUACAAAGGGCUGCAAGACCGCGAGGUCAAGCCAAUCCCAUAAAACCAUUCUCAGUUCGGAUUGUAGGCUGCAACUCGCCUAUAUGAAGCUGGAAUCGCUAGUAAUCGCGGAUCAGCAUGCCGCGGUGAAUACGUUCCCGGGCCUUGUACACACCGCCCGUCACACCACGAGAGUUUGUAACACCCGAAGUCGGUGGAGUAACCGUAAGGAGCUAGCCGCCUAAGGUGGGACAGAUGAUUGGGGUG
Molecule: ribosomal RNA, 326 nt
Filed under: Priestia megaterium
Lineage: Bacteria; Bacillati; Bacillota; Bacilli; Caryophanales; Bacillaceae
Description: bacterial SSU rRNA
Rfam family: Bacterial small subunit ribosomal RNA
Source: RNAcentral